ACACUCCUACGGGAGGCAGCAGUGGGGAAUAUUGGACAAUGGGCGCAAGCCUGAUCCAGCCAUGCCGCGUGAGUGAUGAAGGCCCUAGGGUUGUAAAGCUCUUUCACCGGUGAAGAUAAUGACGGUAACCGGAGAAGAAGCCCCGGCUAACUUCGUGCCAGCAGCCGCGGUAAUACGAAGGGGGCUAGCGUUGUUCGGAUUUACUGGGCGUAAAGCGCACGUAGGCGGACUAUUAAGUCAGGGGUGAAAUCCCGGGGCUCAACCCCGGAACUGCCUUUGAUACUGGUAGGCUUGAGUUCGAGAGAGGUGAGUGGAAUUCCGAGUGUAGAGGUGAAAUUCGUAGAUAUUCGGAGGAACACCAGUGGCGAAGGCGGCUCACUGGCUCGAUACUGACGCUGAGGUGCGAAAGCGUGGGGAGCAAACAGGAUUAGAAACCCGAGUAGUCCCA
RNAcentral lists this ribosomal RNA (448 nucleotides) under uncultured organism. Its description in RNAcentral is "partial 16S ribosomal RNA". It matches the Rfam family "Bacterial small subunit ribosomal RNA", at positions 333 to 797 of the family's 1533-position model. The record is from RNAcentral.